CGAGGUCUUUGUGUACCCCGUGCGGCUCCACCCAUGACGCACAUAUGGGGAAUGGUAAAGACCGAG
Leptomonas pyrrhocoris is the source of this 66-nucleotide small nucleolar RNA. It matches the Rfam family "Trypanosomatid snoRNA TB9Cs4H1". NCBI's taxonomy places the organism in Eukaryota, Euglenozoa, Kinetoplastea, Trypanosomatida, Trypanosomatidae. The record is from Rfam.